RNAcentral lists this ribosomal RNA (384 nucleotides) under uncultured bacterium. Its description in RNAcentral is "bacterial SSU rRNA". It matches the Rfam family "Bacterial small subunit ribosomal RNA", at positions 28 to 414 of the family's 1533-position model. The record is from RNAcentral.
GACUAACGCUGGCGGCAUGCAUCAUACAUGCAAGUCGAACGGCAGCACGGGGGCAACCCUGGUGGCGAGUGGCGAACGGGUGAGUAAUAUAUCGGAACGUACCCUGGAGUGGGGGAUAACGUAGCGAAAGUUACGCUAAUACCGCAUACGAUCUAAGGAUGAAAGUGGGGGAUCGCAAGACCUCAUGCUCCUGGAGCGGCCGAUAUCUGAUUAGCUAGUUGGUGGGGUAAAGGCCUACCAAGGCAUCGAUCAGUAGCUGGUCUGAGAGGACGACCAGCCACACUGGGACUGAGACACGGCCCAGACUCCUACGGGAGGCAGCAGUGGGGAAUUUUGGACAAUGGGGGCAACCCUGAUCCAGCAAUGCCGCGUGAGUGAAGAAGG